AGCUGAGUCGCUUCACUCUCACAAACAUUCAGCGUUUGCUCAUUUCUCCAAGAGUUUUCCCGGUCCUCAUCAGAAAUCUCCCAAAGUUCCCUCUCCCACCAUGAUGUCCUUGAAGAAUAUUCUAGAAUUUGUCAGAGUCUGAUACGUCUGAGAUACUUGAUGUGAGAUACUUUUACUAACAAAAUCUCCCACUUCUAAAUAUUGAUUAAAGUCUGUUCUGGAAAAAUUAUGUUUUUCAAUCAAAUGACAUCAAAGAGGAAAUCCUGCAAUUUGAACAAUCCCAGUUUCUGACACUGAUUACCCAUCAUUCCCGGCAUAAUCUCUGGAUUAAGUGCUGAAGUUAUCAGAGACCCUCCAGUUCCCUUACUGUUCACCAUGCUGUCACUGACUCUGUCUCAGUAAUGUGUUGCGCUUUAAACGGCUUUUCUCUGCAGAUCAGCUCAUUCACGUGAAGAGUUACGGUUUGUCAAAGAGCGCUGGCGGUUUGGAUAGAAACACCUCAGCCGCCAUCUUUCCUGCCUCCAGAUCCCACUGAGGAUUCUGAGGAUCUUUGAUCAUCCCUGGAUGAGCGGAGGAAAACACCUGGAUGGAUUAACAAACAGAUGGAACAACAGGUUUAUGGAGAACACAGAAGACAGAACGUGAUGUGAAGAAGGAGUUCCAGCUCAGAACCAGAACCAACGUUGGCCCGUUGGAUCCAGAACCUGUUCCCUCCAGUGGUUGGAGAGAUGUGAACGCUCAGCUGACCUGAAUCGAGGACCUCAGUGACCCUCCAGGAGAACCCUGGCGGCGUUUGAGACGGCGAACACCAAACAUGGGAUCCCAGGAGACACUCCAAGUCCAGUAAGAUGAAAUCCUCUCAGGAGCAAGAAAUGUUUUAA
Oryzias melastigma (Indian medaka) is the source of this 881-nucleotide long non-coding RNA. RefSeq lists it as uncharacterized. The transcript has 4 exons. The record is from RefSeq and is a predicted model, not a curated record. NCBI's taxonomy places the organism in Eukaryota, Metazoa, Chordata, Actinopteri, Beloniformes, Adrianichthyidae.